Long non-coding RNA from Micropterus dolomieu (smallmouth bass), 328 nucleotides. RefSeq lists it as uncharacterized. Lineage: Eukaryota; Metazoa; Chordata; Actinopteri; Centrarchiformes; Centrarchidae. The record is from RefSeq and is a predicted model, not a curated record. The transcript has 2 exons.
CUUGCCAUCUCCUCUUUCCUGAAGUUUCCUCCGUUUUUCCUUCCCUGCCAUCUCUGUCUGUUUGGUCGCGUUUCCGGCACUGACUCGUCACCACCUGUGGCUCAUCCAGUAAUCAUCCUUUGCAGUGAAAUACUCAUCUUCCACUCCUCGCUAGUUCUAACCUCCUGUGUGUCGAGACCCUGCCUCCCUGUCAACCUGUCCGCCUGCUCUGAACCGUGUUCUUUGGACGCCACCAUCUAUCCGAUGCCGAGUCUGGAAUUCCCCCACUUCCUCCCCAACCACCAUGUUUUCAUUGUGCACUUUAUUUGUGAAUAAAGCUGCUUGAGUA